This is a long non-coding RNA of Xenopus tropicalis (tropical clawed frog), 2918 nucleotides long. RefSeq lists it as uncharacterized. NCBI's taxonomy places the organism in Eukaryota, Metazoa, Chordata, Amphibia, Anura, Pipidae. The transcript has 2 exons. The record is from RefSeq and is a predicted model, not a curated record.
CAUGUAUCGGAUCUCUUGACACAGUACCCUUGAAUAAUAAGAUAGUCCCUUGCUCUUACUGGAAGCACAAAGCUCCUUAUGAUGAGACGUCGGCUCUCAGCAACAGCGAUAAACUGUAUGGAGGACCACCUCGACUUGGCCCUAUGCACUUCUCUUCAAUAGGAGCAUGAAUCAAGGUCAUCUUCUCCAGAUUGCUCAUCACUUCAAACAGCUUCAGUAAUGGAGUCUCAGAUGUGGAUCUCAACAAAUCAGCGCUGUCAAUUUCUGCCUCUCAUCCUCAUCCAAGAGAAACAGGCCUGUCAGCGUUCCUCCGGGUCGUCUUAGGUAAUCAAAGCCUUCCUGUAUUGCCUUCAGCAAUGACUUUUUCUUUCCCCCUUUACAAAAGAAUUUACACUUCUUAAGUAGAGAUCAUUUGAUUGCUUUUUCACUUUUAUUUUUUUGCAACAUUUUACCAUUGUUGGGAGUUUAAAGACAUUAACCUAAAAGGGAAGGAGAAAACGGCAAUGAUGUCUACGUCUCACAGAGGCUUUAUGCAACAAAACUGGCUUCUAGAAUAGAGUGAUGUGUAGGUGGGACUUCUUGACUUUCAGAUAAUCAUUGUAAAAGGCUAACUGAUCUUGUUUUUAAGUUUUGAGCUCCUAAACAGCUCUACAGUAUUUGUGCCUUUUGAAGUCUGGUUACAGCAGGAAAUUAGGGCACAUUCACUUGCCCAGACGCAGUGUGCAAACUGCAGUUUUUUCUCCACACAAUGCACAUUUUUUUCCAGAGAAUUCUGGUGGUACGGAUACAAACUGCCGAUUCUCUUAACACAAUGGCACUGUGCCUACUGCAGUUGUGUUGGCUUUGCCAAAAUGGAGGCAACUGGACAUUAGGGCAAAGUACACUGAAUAUCUUCUGUCAUUUCCAGUAUUUGCUGAUGUAAUUUCCGGUGUUUGCCGAUGUGAUUUCCAGUCUCCGGUGUGGGAAUGACGUCUGUGCCCGAUAUGUUAGGUGACACAGGAUGCUGAGAGAACCCUGAAGCUACCAUCUUGUCAGGAAGUGGAGGUGACUCCAGGGUUCCACUUCGUUAACAGGUGCAGCAGAGCCCAAUUCAAACACAAGGCAGAAAGGACUGAGUACUGAGAGCAACUAUAAAGAAAUGCGAAGAGCACGUUUUGACGCAAGUACAGUUUAGGGAAAAGUGCAAGUUGCCCAUGGACAUAAAUUAGCCACUUGGAGAAUUAAAAAUUAGGGAAGGAAUAUGUCCUUUUAAGAUCCUCCAGACUGAUUCAGCAGCUUACUGCUCCAUAUAUAGGCCUGCCUGACUUAUAUCUGGCCUCCGUGUGUGAUCCUAUUGGUGGCCACAGCCCUUUUUGGCCUUACACUUGGGUAACCAUCCACCUCUUUGGCAUCCUCAACAAAGGGAUCGGGUCAUGUAUGGCCAGCUGCAUUCUAAACUCUCCAUAGCAGUUAUGCGUCACCCAAAUAUUGCUGCAAUACAACAUCCAGCCUACUCCCACAAUGAAGUCUUAAAGCAUUGUGGGAGCUGUGUUUUAGCAGACUAGAUUGUUUAACACUGCUUAGAGCAACUUUUCCCUAUAGCUCUCCACUUCCAGCAGUCAAUUUAAUGCAAGAAGAUCCUUCAGGGCCUACAUCACAGGGGGACAAGAAGGAACUGUUGUUAGGAGCCCAGGGAAAUGAUAGCCCACAGAGUACAGCAAUUUUUUGUGUAAUAUAACAUCUGGGUACCCACCCAAUGUUGCAUGGACGAUGGCUGUAGGAGGGGUCUGUUAUACAACACUGCAGCAGGGGGCCUUGAUCAGGCUGGUUAAUGGGCAGAUAGCACUGCAUAACAACAGUAACAAUGCUGCAAGUCAUGUACUAUUGACAGCAAUUUGGCAAGAGCAUGUUUCGUAUGUUUUGCCUAAACCUAUUGGCUGGAGGCUCAGCAGGCCCCUAUUUUGAUGUCCCAUAAUUAGGAAACGGAAUGGGAGGCUGCUUGCAACUGGUGUGGAGGUGGCGGGUAGACUGCUUCUCAUUGGAGAACACUCUUGCAUCUCAAAUUAGGUUUUGGUGGCCUUGAAUAGUUAGGGGGCAAAAAUGAGUUAGAUUUUGGGAAGCUUUAUAUCCACAUUAAAGGCAUUCUGCAUGGGCUGGUGCUUUUAGAUCUCCUGUUUUGUUGACUUUUUAUGAAAAUAAUAAAAAAAAAGUAAAUAAAAAUCUGCAACUUUAGGGUUUGCAACUAAGAAUGAUUUUUGGCUCGGCCGUUUGCUCAGCUUAACAAAACAAAUGUUUACUCGUUUCCAGCUCGCUAAGAGUAUAAUGUGCUUAAUGAAAGAAAAAUCUACUGACAGUCGCGUUUAUUGCCCUUCAUUAGCGUCGUUGCUUAAUUUAAUAUAGAUUGGAACAGACGCACGACUUAGCCUGCAGGAGGUUAAAUGGUGAAAAUAAAAUAAAUCCAAUCAGAGAUUAUUGAAUUUGCCGCGGCGUUCCUGUGACACCUAACAGACAAAACUCAUUAUUCGCAUAACACCAGAGACGUAAGCGCAUUUUUUUCUAUAGCAAGAUAAUUAAUAGAUGAUUUGUACAUUUAUAAAAUCUACAUGAAUUGCCCAUGGCAUUAAUAUCAGUCUGAUUCAGCAAUGGGCCCUCUGAAAAUUACAUGGGAAAUGUUCUUCUUUUAAGUGAAGUGGCGUACCUUCCAUUUAUUCUCCAUUAUGGAAGGUGAGUGAUCACGUCAUAGUUGACUACAGAGCUUUCCAAGUCCUUGGACCUCAUUUACAAACAGGGCAGAGCUUGUUUUUCAGAAUUCAAGUCAGAGCUGGCGCCAAAAAGCAGUGCUAGUUGCAACGGUGUCCUGACAGUCUGCCUGUUUACCAUUAGCCUGCUAAUGCCAGCUGACACUUACUCAUUCCCUUCCGCUUGUAGCUCACUACAAA